AUUGAACGCUGGCGGCAGGCCUAACACAUGCAAGUCGAGCGGAUGAAGGGAGCUUGCUCCUGGAUUCAGCGGCGGACGGGUGAGUAAUGCCUAGGAAUCUGCCUGGUAGUGGGGGAUAACGUCCGGAAACGGGCGCUAAUACCGCAUACGUCCUGAGGGAGAAAGUGGGGGAUCUUCGGACCUCACGCUAUCAGAUGAGCCUAGGUCGGAUUAGCUAGUUGGUGGGGUAAAGGCCUACCAAGGCGACGAUCCGUAACUGGUCUGAGAGGAUGAUCAGUCACACUGGAACUGAGACACGGUCCAGACUCCUACGGGAGGCAGCAGUGGGGAAUAUUGGACAAUGGGCGAAAGCCUGAUCCAGCCAUGCCGCGUGUGUGAAGAAGGUCUUCGGAUUGUAAAGCACUUUAAGUUGGGAGGAAGGGCGGUAAGUUAAUACCUUGCUGUCUUGACGUUACCAACAGAAUAAGCACCGGCUAACUUCGUG
RNAcentral lists this ribosomal RNA (484 nucleotides) under uncultured bacterium. RNAcentral's name for it is "partial 16S ribosomal RNA". It matches the Rfam family "Bacterial small subunit ribosomal RNA", at positions 30 to 507 of the family's 1533-position model. The record is from RNAcentral.